RNAcentral lists this small nuclear RNA (197 nucleotides) under Panthera leo (lion). Its description in RNAcentral is "U2 spliceosomal RNA (ENSPLOG00000016475.1)". The stretch from base 1 to 130 matches the Rfam family "U2 spliceosomal RNA". Rfam says of the family: U2 is a small nuclear RNA (snRNA) component of the spliceosome (involved in pre-mRNA splicing). Complementary binding between U2 snRNA (in an area lying towards the 5' end but 3' to hairpin I) and the branchpoint sequence (BPS) of the intron results the bulging out of an unpaired adenosine, on the BPS, which initiates a nucleophilic attack at the intronic 5' splice site, thus starting the first of two transesterification reactions that mediate splicing. The record is from Rfam by way of RNAcentral. Lineage: Eukaryota; Metazoa; Chordata; Mammalia; Carnivora; Felidae.
AUCACUUCUCGGCCUUUUGGCUAAGAUCAAGUGUAAAAAAAAUACUUUAUUUAUUUUUUUAAGUUUAUUUAUUUAUUUUGAGAGAGACAGCAUAAAUGGAGGAGGGGCAGAGAAUGCGGGAGAAUCCUAACCAGGCUUGGUGCUGUCAGUGCAGAGCCUGAUGCAGGGCUUGAAGCCUCAGGAUCUUGAGAUCAUGA